RNAcentral lists this non-coding RNA (20 nucleotides) under Arabidopsis thaliana (thale cress). The record is from RNAcentral. Lineage: Eukaryota; Viridiplantae; Streptophyta; Magnoliopsida; Brassicales; Brassicaceae.
AGCUUUUAUCAGCCGGUGUU